This 460-nucleotide ribosomal RNA is filed under the name uncultured bacterium. Its description in RNAcentral is "partial 16S ribosomal RNA". It matches the Rfam family "Bacterial small subunit ribosomal RNA", at positions 338 to 795 of the family's 1533-position model. The record is from RNAcentral.
CCUACGGGGGGCAGCAGUGAGGAAUAUUGGUCAAUGGACGAGAGUCUGAACCAGCCAAGUAGCGUGAAGGAUGACUGCCCUAUGGGUUGUAAACUUCUUUUAUAUGGGAAUAAAAUGUUCCACGUGUGGGAUUUUGUAUGUACCAUAUGAAUAAGGAUCGGCUAACUCCGUGCCAGCAGCCGCGGUAAUACGGAGGAUCCGAGCGUUAUCCGGAUUUAUUGGGUUUAAAGGGAGCGUAGGUGGAUUGUUAAGUCAGUUGUGAAAGUUUGCGGCUCAACCGUAAAAUUGCAGUUGAAACUGGCAGUCUUGAGUAUAGUAGAGGUGGGUGGAAUUCGUGGUGUAGCGGUGAAAUGCUUAGAUAUCACGAAGAACUCCGAUUGCGAAGGCAGUUCACUGGACUGCAACUGACACUGAGGCUCGAAAGUGUGGGUAUCAAACAGGAUUAGAUACCCUUGUAGUC